This 359-nucleotide RNase P RNA is filed under the name Actinomycetaceae bacterium. RNAcentral describes it as "RNase P RNA component class A". It matches the Rfam family "Bacterial RNase P class A". From Rfam's summary of the family: Ribonuclease P (RNase P) is a ubiquitous endoribonuclease, found in archaea, bacteria and eukarya as well as chloroplasts and mitochondria. The record is from RNAcentral. Lineage: Bacteria; Bacillati; Actinomycetota; Actinomycetes; Actinomycetales; Actinomycetaceae.
UGAGCUGGCCGGAUGGUCGCGGCGCAAGUCGAGGAACGUCCGGACUCCAUAGGACACGGUGGUGGCUAACAGCCACCCGGGGUGACCCGCGGGAUAGUGCCACAGAAAACAAACCGCCGUCGUUUUUAGCGACGGUAAGGGUGAAACGGUGGUGUAAGAGGCCACCAGCAAGUCGGGUGACCGAUUUGGCUAGGAAAACCCCACCGGGAGCAAGACCAAGCAGCACGCAGAGCUGUCCGUUCGACGCGUGCGGGUAGGUUGCUGGAGGUCAUGAGCAAUCAUGACUCGAGAUAGAUGGCCAUCGCAGGGAGUCUCAAAUCCUCCUUGUACAGAAUCCGGCGUAUAGGCCAGCUCAUCCU